This 636-nucleotide transfer-messenger RNA is filed under the name Pseudomonadota bacterium. The stretch from base 1 to 366 matches the Rfam family "transfer-messenger RNA". Rfam says of the family: Bacterial tmRNA, also known as 10Sa RNA or SsrA, is named for its dual tRNA and mRNA-like properties. Lineage: Bacteria; Pseudomonadati; Pseudomonadota. The record is from RNAcentral.
GGGGGCGACCAGCUUCGACGUGGGUUGCGAAGCUUCAGUGGCGUACCGAGGUGCAUGGGUCCUCGUAAAACUCUUGUGCAAAUCUUAGUUGCCAACGACGACAACUACGCUCUGGCGGCUUAAUCCCGCCUAACCUCCGACCCGCUGGUGCCUGUGCCACGGACCCGGGGGACGCGCUCACAGGAUCGCUAUGUACCGUGCUACGGGAUGCAUAGUUAAGAGACACCGUUAGCUGGCCAAGCGUCUUCCCUGCUGCUCGGGUAGCGUGAGGUGAGAACCCAAAGAGACAGCUACGUACGUAGAAGCUGAAGUGUAGUGCUUGCGGACGCGGGUGCGAUUGAUGCGAAAAGCAAUGGUCGCCUUCACCCGAGAGGGUGAAGUGAAAACGGGGCUCAUUCGGUGAACCCUGCGCCAUCGGCAACGAUGGCAUGGCAACGCCGAGGGGUGGAGCAAGGCCAACUUGCCCUGCCCUGUAGAGACUCAUGGACUGGCUGAUGCUGCCUUCGGGCAGAGCGAGCCGGCCCCAGGAUUCGUGCCGAAAGACACGAAUAACACGCCCCGCAUCCGGCAACGGAUGAAGGCAUAGUCCAGGCCAUUCCGAAAGGAAUGGGGGUAACUGUCCCGCCGCCUCCACCA